Molecule: long non-coding RNA, 1911 nt
Filed under: Salmo salar (Atlantic salmon)
Lineage: Eukaryota; Metazoa; Chordata; Actinopteri; Salmoniformes; Salmonidae
Description: lncRNA (ENSSSAG00000084937.1)
Source: RNAcentral
CGUGUGCCAGACACACGGUUUGUGUUCCUCAGCUAGAGCGUUAUUAGGCUACAUCACAUUGGACCCCUGGAAGACGGGGCUGUAGUGGAGCAGGUUGAGAACUUCAAGUUCCUUGGCGUCCACAUCACCAACAAAGUAACAUGGUCCAAGCACACCAAGACAGUCGUGAAGAGGGCACGACAAAACCUAUUCCCCCUCAGGAGACUGAAAAGAUUUGGCAUGGGUCCUCAGAUCCUCAAAAGGUACAGCUGCACCAACCUGACGGGUUGCAUCACUGGCUGGUAUGGCAACUGUUCGGUCUCUGACCGCAAGGCACUACAGAGGGUAGUGCGUAUGGCCCAGUACAUCACCAGGGCCAAGCUUCCUGCCAUCCAGGACCUCUAAACCAAGCGGUGUCAGAGGAAGCCCUAAAAAUUGUCAAAGACUCCAGCCACCCUAGUAAUAGACUGUUCUCUCUGCUACCGCACGGCAAGUGGUACCGGAGCGCCAAGUCUUGGUCUAAGAGGCUUCUAAACAGCUUCUACCCCCAAGCCAAAAGACUCCUGAACAGCUAAUCAAAGGGCUACACACACUGUAAAAACAUUUUGUUUCUGUACUUAUGAAUAAUGGUAGAAUACUGUGAAAUUACAGGGAUAAACUUAUAUUUAACUUUCGUUGUGUUGAAUAAUAGGAGAUGUCAGUAAAUGCGAAAUACAUUAAACUUCCUGUAUUUUUACAGACACGCAUCCCCUUUUCACAACAAUAAGCUGUAGAAAUACAGUAAUAUACAUUGUAAAGAAAACACUACAUUUACCAUUGUUUUAUGGAUAUUUACUUUAGUUUUACAUUCUAAAUGCAGAUAAUUAUAGUAAAAUAAAGUUUCUGAUGUUUAAACAGUAUACAAUUAUGCAAGAGAAUGUAAAAAAAAAAUGCUGUCGUCUGGGAUUGUACUGAUACUGAUAUCACUACAUUACAAACAUUAACUGCAUUCUACCUUGACUCUCUAUUUUCACAACCAAUAAUAGUUACAUUGAGAGUAGGUUUUUGUAAUAUUAUUAUAAUAAUCUGUUUUCUAGCUUUAUUUUUGUCAACAAUUAAGGAGUUGUCUGUUUUUUUAGCUGACCAAUUCUCUAUUUUCACAACGGAUACCAGUUGAAUUGAGAGUAGUUUUUGUAAUAUUAUGAUUAUAAUCUGUGUGCUAGCUAUAUUUUGUCAUCAAUUAAGGAGUUCUUUAGGCUUUUAGCUGGCCAAAUCUUUAUUUUCACAACCAAUGCCAGCAAAUUAGAAGAUUCCAGGUAAAAAUAGGAGUUCAUGGCAUAAAAUUGCAGUAAUAUACUUUAUUUUGAUUGAAAGUAAAUCACCGUUUUAUACAGAUUAUUUAUAUACAUUUUUAGUCUGUAGUUUUAGUCUAUUUCUGGCACCUGUGCUGCCAGACUAUUACAGUAAAUUAAAAAAUAAAAAUACAGUGCAGACUAUGUGCAUUGCCCCCCUCUUUUAUGCUGCUGCUACUCUUUGUUUAUCUAUGCAUAGUCACUUUAACUCUACCUACAUGUACAUAUUACCUCAAUUACCUUGACUAACCGGUGCCCCGCACAUUGACUCUGUACCGGUACCCCCUGUAUAUAGCCUCGCUAUUGUUAUUUUACUGCUGCUGUUUACUUAUUUGUUAAUUUUAUUUUAAAUUUUUUACUUGUCAAUUGUUUACUUAACACUUAUUUCUCUUAAAACUGCAUUGUUGGUUAAGGGCUUGUAAGUAAAAUUUAAUUUAAUUCCCAUCUACAUCAAGGUUUGUUUUAGAGCUAAAAAUGUUUUGGAAGAAAUGGGGGUGCAAAGGUUUUGAGCCCUGUUUAUACAUGGUUUAUUCCUGUUUCCUGAUCUUGUCCACAUUUUCAGAAAUGUGUCUACACAUGGAAUUAAAAUGUGUCUCUUAUC